Molecule: ribosomal RNA, 450 nt
Filed under: uncultured bacterium
Lineage: Bacteria
Description: partial 16S ribosomal RNA
Rfam family: Bacterial small subunit ribosomal RNA
Source: RNAcentral
GUGGGGAAUAUUCCGCAAUGGACGAAAGUCUGACGGAGCAACGCCGCGUGAGUGAUGAAGGUUUUCGGACUGUAAAGCUCUGUUGUUUAGGACGAAAGUGCCUGUUGCAAAUAGUUACAGGUAUUGACGGUACUGAACGAGGAAGCCACGGCUAACUACGUGCCAGCAGCCGCGGUAAUACGUAGGUGGCAAGCGUUGUCCGGAAUUAUUGGGCGUAAAGAGCAUGUAGGCGGGAAUCUAAGUCUGUUGUGAAAAUGCGGGGCUCAACCCCGUAUUGCGAUGGAAACUGGGUUUCUUGAGUGCAGGAGAGGAAAGGGGAAUUCCCAGUGUAGCGGUGAAAUGCGUAGAUAUUGGGAGGAACACCAGUGGCGAAGGCGACUUACUGGACUGUAACUGACGCUGAGGCGCGAAAGUGUGGGGAGCAAACAGGAUUAGAUACCCCAGUAGUCC